Molecule: long non-coding RNA, 1341 nt
Organism: Mugil cephalus (flathead mullet)
Lineage: Eukaryota; Metazoa; Chordata; Actinopteri; Mugiliformes; Mugilidae
Exons: 4
Source: RefSeq, a predicted model, not a curated record
AUCCCAGGACUGGACAAAUAAUCGGCCCAGGCAUUUUGAGCCGAGACCGACACAGAUGUUUUAUCCCGAAGUUACGGAGCGAGACGGUUGUUCAGCUUAUUGUUGAUGCAGACAUAGUUAGAACCUGGACAGAUGCGUCACUGAUUCCCAGAGUCGACCAAACUCCAGAUUCAAAGAACGGGACAGACGUUGAUCUUGGUGGUCAUUCACAUGUACCGCUUGUGAUUGCCGUGGUUGUUGUCAUUGUAAUCUUCGCAGCUCUUGGCGUUUAUCAUUUCAUAAAACGGCGUCACAAAGAGACUGUCAAGUAUAAAGCUUCCCCAAACACGAUGCAACCAGCCUGAGAGCCUGGCUUAAAAAAAAGUGUUAAUGGACAUGAGAGAAGGACCAACAGGAGCAAGAUCACCUCCCGCUGACAUAAACCAAGUCCAACCUGAAGACGCUGUUGACGGCAACCAGGACGAUCUUGAAGAAGAAUCAAUUAAUUGCCAAACGUCUGAAGAGCUUCUCAGAUGCCCAAAAAUCCACAAAACCUCAGGUUGGAAAAUCUCAGUCUGGACUCUCUCCACUGGGAACGGAUUCUGCUGGACCAAUCAGAUCGCUCGGGGGCGUGGUUUAACAGUGGUCAUACACGUCACCUGAGAAAUUGACAGGAAAUGACUUAAAAGGACGAAAAGCUGACAGUUGUGCACAGAAAUAGUUCUGUGGCUCUGAUUGGUUGAAGGACUGUCCAGUGGCUCUGAGACGUCUCGGCCAUCGACCACUGGACAUUCAAAUCAAGUUCAGCUUGAAGAAUAAUUCAUUAAUGUCUCUCAGCCAAAAACACUGUACAAGAUAUUUUCCAUGUGGAGCGACUGGAACUACUACUGACUACAUUGUUGUAGUUUCAUUUUAAAUUAUAUUUAUUUAUUUCUAAAGAAUGGACUUGUCAGAAAAGUCCACGAUAGAUUACAUUCCUGUCUUGGUCACAACCUGCUGGAAAAGCACUAAAUAAAAAGCCGGGUACUUUUACACUGUAUUUAAGAUACUUUCCUUUUGUGAUUUGAUGUCACCAUAGGAAUUUAUUUUUUUAUUUUUUCUGUUGGCGUCUGUCUUUAACUUGGACAGAUUUGUGAGUGACGGCUCAGAUUGAACCUGUGCCAGUUUUAGGAUCUUUUAAAAUGUGACGGGUUUUAUGGCACUUCAGGUAAAGAUUUUGUUUCAUUAAACUCUGAUUUACUAAAAUAUUUAAGUUUGUUUAAAGGUGCAGCUGGUAGUUGAAAGACACUUUAGAGGUCAGUUUACAUGACCUCAGUAGCAGAUGAAGUUUUACAAGUAAAAAUAAAAGGAGAAGGAACACGG